This 301-nucleotide ribosomal RNA is filed under the name uncultured bacterium. RNAcentral's name for it is "partial 16S ribosomal RNA". It matches the Rfam family "Bacterial small subunit ribosomal RNA", at positions 509 to 807 of the family's 1533-position model. The record is from RNAcentral.
CAGUAGCCGCGGUAAUACAGAGGGUGCGAGCGUUAAUCGGAUUUACUGGGCGUAAAGCGUGCGUAGGCGGCUUUUUAAGUCGGAUGUGAAAUCCCUGAGCUUAACUUAGGAAUUGCAUUCGAUACUGGGAAGCUAGAGUAUGGGAGAGGAUGGUAGAAUUCCAGGUGUAGCGGUGAAAUGCGUAGAGAUCUGGAGGAAUACCGAUGGCGAAGGCAGCCAUCUGGCCUAAUACUGACGCUGAGGUACGAAAGCAUGGGAAGCAAACAGGAUUAGAUACCCGUGUAGUCCCUGUCUCUUAUAC